CCCGGGCUAGCUCAGUCAGUAGAGCAUGAGACUCUUAAUCUCAGGGUCGUGGUUUUGUGCCCCACGUUGGGUG
Molecule: transfer RNA, 73 nt
Filed under: Neotoma lepida (desert woodrat)
Lineage: Eukaryota; Metazoa; Chordata; Mammalia; Rodentia; Cricetidae
Rfam family: tRNA
About the family: Transfer RNA (tRNA) molecules are approximately 80 nucleotides in length.
Source: Rfam by way of RNAcentral